Beta vulgaris subsp. vulgaris (sugar beet) is the source of this 93-nucleotide non-coding RNA. NCBI's taxonomy places the organism in Eukaryota, Viridiplantae, Streptophyta, Magnoliopsida, Caryophyllales, Amaranthaceae. The record is from Rfam.
GAUCCGAUGAUGAGACGAAAACACUCAAGUGUUUAUGUGCAGUGGAUUUUACCGUGAGCAUUAUAAAUAACGACUUCUCCUUCCACUGAGUUC